CACGGAGGCCCCUCGCAAAGUCUCGCGGCAUUCCGAGUCCGGUGGACGAAGUGGGCCAGCCCCAACCCCCAAGGCUAUAGCCCACCCGUUUUUGUGGCCUUUUUCCGCUGGACAAACUUGGCGCCCCGGCCUUCGGGCUGUUAUUUCUGGGCGCGGCUUUGUCCGCGGCCAAUUUUUGGCACACGGAGGCCCCUCGCAAAGUCUCGCGGCAUUCCGAGUCCGGCGGACGAAGUUGGCCAGCCCCACCCCCCAAGGCUAUAGCCCACCUGUUUUUGUUGCCUUUUUCGCUGGACGAACUUGGCGCCCCGGCCUUCGGGUGGUUAUUUUUGGGCGCGGCUUUGCCCGCGGCCUAUUUUUUGCACACGGAGGCCCCUCGCAAAGUCUCGCGGCAUUCCGAGUCCGGCGGACGAAGUUGGCCAGCCCCAACCCCCAAGGCUAUAGCCCACCCGUUUUUGUGGCCUUUUUCCGCUGGACGAAUUCGGCGCCCCGGGCUUCGGGCAGUUAUUUUUGGGCGCGGCUUUAUCCGCAGCCUAUGUUUGGCACACGGAGGCCCCUCGGAAAGUCUCGCGGCAUUCCGUGUCCGGCGGACGAAGUUGGCCAGCCCCACCCCCCAAGGCUAUAGCCCACCCGUUUUUGUGGCCUUUUUCCGCUGGACGAACAUGGCGCCCCGGCCUUUGGCCGGUUAUUUCUUGGCACGGCUUUGUCCGCGGCCUAUUUUUGGCACACAGGGGCCCCUCGUAAAGUCUCGCAGUAUUCCGAGUCCGGUGGACGAAGUGGGCCAGCCCCACCUCCCAAGGCUAUAGCCCACCCGUUUUUGUGGCCUUUUUCCGCUGGACAAACUUGGCGCCCCGGCCUUCGGGCGGUUAUUUCUGGGCGCGGCUUUGCCCGUGGCCUAUUUUUUGCACACGGGAGCCCCUCGCAAAGUCUCACGGCAUUCUGAGUCCGGCGGACGAAGUUGGCCAGCCCCACCCCCCAAGGCUAUAGCCCACCCGUUUUUGUGGCCUUUUUCCGCUGGACGAACUUGGCGCCCCGGCCUUUGGGUGAUUAUUUUUGGGCGCGGCUUUGCCCGCGGCCUAUUUUUGGCACACGGAGACCCCUCGCAAAGUCUCACGGCAUUCCGAGUCCGGCGGACGAAGUUGGCCAGCCCCACCCCCCAAGGCUAUAGCCCACCCGUUUUUGUGGCCUUUUUCGCUGGACGAACAUGGCGCCCCGGCCUUUGGCCGGUUAUUUCUUGGCACGGCUUUGUCCGCGGCCUAUUUUUGGCACACAGGGGCCCCUCGUAAAGUCUCGCGGUAUUCCGAGUCCGGUGGACGAAGUGGGCCAGCCCCACCUCCCAAGGCUAUAGCCCACCCGUUUUUGUGGCCUUUUUCCGCUGGACAAACUUGGCGCCCCGGCCUUCGGGCGGUUAUUUCUGGGCGCGGCUUUGCCCGUGGCCUAUUUUUUGCACACGGAGGCCCCUCGCAAAGUCUCACGGCAUUCCGAGUCCGGCGGACGAAGUUGGCCAGCCCCACCCCCCAAGGCUAUAGCCCACCCGUUUUUGUUGCCUUUUUCCGCUGGACGAACUUGGCGCCCCGGCCUUUGGGUGAUUAUUUUUGGGCGCGGCUUUGCCCGCGGCCUAUUUUUGGCACACGGAGACCCCUCGCAAAGUCUCGCGGCAUUCCGAGUCCGGUAGACGAAGUUGGCCAGCCCCAACCCCCAAGGCUAUAGCCCGCCCGUUUUUGUGGCCUUUUUCCGCUGCACGAAUUCGGCGCCCCGGGCUUCGGGCACAUAUUUUUGGGCGCGGCUUUGUCCACGGCCUAUUUUUGGCACACGGAGGCCCCUCGCAAAGCCUCACGGCAUUCCGAGUCCGGCGGACGAAGUUGGCCAGCCCCACCCCCCAAGGCUAUAGCCCACCCGUUUUUGUGGCCUUUUUCCGCUGGAUGAACUUGGCGCCCCGGCCCUCGGGCGGUUAUUUCUAGGCGCGGCUUUGCCUGCGGCCUAUUUUUGGCACACGGAGGGCCCUCGCAAAGUCUCGCGGCAUUCCGAGUCCGGCGGACGAAGUUGGCCAGCCCCACCCCCCAAGGCUAUAGCCCACCCGUUUUUGUGGCCUUUUUCCGCUGGACGAACUUGGCGCCCCAGUCUUCGGGCGGUUAUUUUUGGGCGCGGCAUUGUCCGCGGCCUAUAUUUGGCACACGGAGGCCCAUCGCAAAUUCUCGCGGCAUUCCGAGUCCAGCGGACGAAGUGGGCCAGCCCCACCCCCCAAGGCGAUAGCCCACCCGUUUUUGUGGACUUUUUCCGCUGGACGAACUUGGCGCCCCGGCCUUCGGACGGUUAUUUCUUGGCGGACGAAGUUGGCCAGCCCCACCCACCAAGGCCCACCCGUUUUUGUGGCCUUUUUCCGCUGAACGAACGUGGCGCCCCGGCCUUCGGGCGGUUAUUUUUGGAUGCGGCUUUGCCCGCGGCCUCUUUUUGGCACACGGAGGCCCCUCGCAAAGUCUCGCGGCAUUCCGAGUCCGGCGGACGAAGUUGGCCAGCCCCACCCCCCAAGGCUAUAGCCCACCAGUUUUUGUGGCCUUUUUCUGCUGGACGAACUUGGCGCCCCGUCCUUCGGCCGGUUAUUUCUUGGCGCGGCUUUGCCCGCGGCAUAUUUUUGGCACACGGAGGCCCCUCACAAAGUCUCGCAGCAUUCCGAGUCCGGCGGAUGAAGUUGGCCAGCCCCACCCCCCAAGGCCCACCCGUUUUUGUGGCCUUUUACCGCUGUACGAACUUGGCGCCCCGGCCUUCGGGCGGUUAUUUUUGGGCGCGGCUUUGCCCGUGGCCUAUUUUUGGCACACGGAGGCCCCUCGCAAAGUCUCAAGGCAUUCCG
This 2845-nucleotide long non-coding RNA is filed under the name Citrus x clementina. RNAcentral's name for it is "Citrus clementina (C. clementina) long non-coding RNA (CCLE_LNC001242)". Lineage: Eukaryota; Viridiplantae; Streptophyta; Magnoliopsida; Sapindales; Rutaceae. The record is from RNAcentral.